UACCAGCUCUCCGAGUGGUGGGGAUGUUUAUUGGGCUUAAAGCGUCCGUAGCCGGCUUAGCAAGUCUCCUGUUAAAUUCAGCGACCUAAUCGUUGAGCCGCGGGAGAUACUAUUAGGCUAGGAGGCGGGAGAGGUCAACGGUACUUCCGGGGUAGGGGUGAAAUCCUAUAAUCCCGGGAGGACCACCAGUGGCGAAGGCUGUUGACUAGAACGCGCUCGACGGUGUGGGACGAAAGCUGGGGGAGCGAACCGGAUUAGAUACCCGGGUAGUCCCAGCUGUAAACGAUGCGAGCUAGGUGUUGGGGUGGCUACGUGCCACUUCAGUGCCGCAGGGAAGCCAUUAAGCUCGCCGCCUGGGGAGUACGGCCGCAAGGCUGAAACUUAAAGGAAUUGGCGGGGGAGCACCACAAGGCGUGAAGCUUGCGGUUC
Molecule: ribosomal RNA, 429 nt
Filed under: uncultured archaeon
Lineage: Archaea
Description: bacterial SSU rRNA
Rfam family: Archaeal small subunit ribosomal RNA
Source: RNAcentral